Molecule: ribosomal RNA, 450 nt
Filed under: uncultured organism
Description: partial 16S ribosomal RNA
Rfam family: Bacterial small subunit ribosomal RNA
Source: RNAcentral
GUACACUCCUACGGGAGGCAGCAGUGGGGAAUAUUGGACAAUGGGCGCAAGCCUGAUCCAGCCAUGCCGCGUGAGUGAUGAAGGCCCUAGGGUUGUAAAGCUCUUUCACCGGUGAAGAUAAUGACGGUAACCGGAGAAGAAGCCCCGGCUAACUUCGUGCCAGCAGCCGCGGUAAUACGAAGGGGGCUAGCGUUGUUCGGAUUUACUGGGCGUAAAGCGCACGUAGGCGGACUAUUAAGUCAGGGGUGAAAUCCCGGGGCUCAACCCCGGAACUGCCUUUGAUACUGGUAGUCUUGAGUUCGAGAGAGGUGAGUGGAAUUCCGAGUGUAGAGGUGAAAUGCGUAGAUAUUCGGAGGAACACCAGUGGCGAAGGCGGCUCACUGGCUCGAUACUGACGCUGAGGUGCGAAAGCGUGGGGAGCAAACAGGAUUAGAUACCCCGAUAGUCCCA